Molecule: ribosomal RNA, 253 nt
Filed under: uncultured bacterium
Lineage: Bacteria
Description: partial 16S ribosomal RNA
Rfam family: Bacterial small subunit ribosomal RNA
Source: RNAcentral
UACGGAGGGUGCAAGCGUUAUCCGGAUGCACUGGGUUUAAAGGGUGCGUAGGUGGGCAAGUAAGUCAGUGGUGAAAUCUCCGGGCUUAACCCGGAAACUGCCAUUAAUACUAUUUGUCUUGAAUACUGUGGAGGUCAGCGGAAUAUGUCAUGUAGCGGUGAAAUGCUUAGAUAUGACAUAGAACACCAAUUGCGAAGGCAGCUGGCUACACAAAUAUUGACACUGAGGCACGAAAGCGUGGGGAUCAAACAGG